CCUAGAACAAGAGAGGAAGAGGGAGCCAUGAGGGACAGAGGAGGCGUGAAGAAGAAGAAGGGAAGGAGAAGAGAAGAAGAGGAGGAGCGCCGCUGCAGGCUAUCCAGCGCCACGCCAAGAGAAGGAAGAGCCAAGGAGGGGAAUCCGGGGAGAAGGAGGAGCGCCUCCCGGAACACGUCGCGACCGUCGGAUCAGCGCCCUGUACGACAACCUCGACGCUCGUGAGCGGCACGGCACAGCACUAGCUCGUCCCUCCACUGACUCGGCACUGCGUCGCGCCCGUCUCCCUCGAGCCGCGCCGGUCCUGACGAGAAGGAGUUGAUCAACGUUCUGAGCAACCAGCGGAUACAGAAGGACCACCCCAACACUCAGAGGAUUCAGAAGGACGUAUCGGUCGACCAGAAGACGUUAGAGACCGAGGAAGGCUAUGAAGACCUAUCAGCCUGAUAGAUGCAGGAUUCGAGUGAAAGGAGUCGAUAGGACGACAAAGGAAGAUGUGAAGGAUGGCCCGAGCUACACUCCGAGCUACCUAUGGAGAGUAUUCGUGAAGAUGUAGUUUGCCAAGAAGACUAGAUAUCGUUUCUGCUUUCUGUUAGUUUUCUUUUAGCCCAAGGGGCUUGUACUCUGAGAUUCGUAAUACAAUCCUUUGGAUUAUGUAAUAAAUAAACCCAUGUGAUGUUGUAAAUGUGAGUUAUGCCUGUGAUAUUCGAUUGAAAUGAGUUCU
Panicum virgatum (switchgrass) is the source of this 724-nucleotide long non-coding RNA. RefSeq lists it as uncharacterized. The record is from RefSeq and is a predicted model, not a curated record. NCBI's taxonomy places the organism in Eukaryota, Viridiplantae, Streptophyta, Magnoliopsida, Poales, Poaceae. The transcript has 3 exons.